Non-coding RNA from Mycena polygramma, 88 nucleotides. The record is from the annotation of a GenBank genome assembly. NCBI's taxonomy places the organism in Eukaryota, Fungi, Basidiomycota, Agaricomycetes, Agaricales, Mycenaceae.
AGCAGUAUGGUGUAAUGCCACACACCGGGCUCUCUUAGAUCCUUCAAAUUCUAACCCGGAGGUCCUUGUUCGACUCAAGGUACUGCUC